Molecule: transfer RNA, 76 nt
Filed under: Firmicutes bacterium ML8_F2
Lineage: Bacteria; Bacillati; Bacillota
Also listed under: 1 other name
Description: tRNA-Lys
Rfam family: tRNA
About the family: Transfer RNA (tRNA) molecules are approximately 80 nucleotides in length. Their secondary structure includes four short double-helical elements and three loops (D, anti-codon, and T loops).
Source: RNAcentral
GGGCCAUUAGCUCAGUUGGUAGAGCACCUGACUUUUAAUCAGGGUGUCGCAGGUUCGAUCCCUGCAUGGCUCACCA